Molecule: long non-coding RNA, 430 nt
Organism: Oncorhynchus tshawytscha (Chinook salmon)
Lineage: Eukaryota; Metazoa; Chordata; Actinopteri; Salmoniformes; Salmonidae
Source: Ensembl
GGCUGGAGAGAAGAGAGAGGAGAGGAGAGGGAGUAGGGCUGGAGAGAAGAGGGAGGAGAGGAGAGGGAGGGAGGAGGGCUGGAGAGAAGAGAGAGGAGAGGAGAGGGAGGAGGGCUGGAGAGAAGAGGGAGGAGAGGAGAGGGAGGAGGGCUGGAGAGAAGAGAGAGAGGAAAGGAGAGGAGAGGGAGGAGGGCUGGAGAGAGUAAAGGAGAGGGAGGAGGGCUGGAGAGAGUAAAGGAGAGGGAGGAGGGCUGGAGAGAGAAGAGAGUGGAAAGGAGAGGGAGGAGGGCUGGAGAGAAGAGAGAGGAGAGGAGAGGGAGGAGGGCUGGAGAGAAGAGAGAGAGAGGAAAGGAGAGGGAGGAGGGCUGGAGAGAAGAGAGAGGAGAGGAGAGGGAGGAGGGCUGGAGAGAAGAGAGAGAGAGGAGAGGAG